AACCCUUCGGGGUUAGCGGCGGACGGGUUAGUAACGCGUGGGAAUAUACCCUUUGGUACGGAAUAGCCUCGGGAAACUGAGAGUAAUACCGUAUGUGCCCUUCGGGGGAAAGAUUUAUCGCCAAAGGAUUAGCCCGCGUUGGAUUAGAUAGUUGGUGGGUAAUGGCCUACCAAGUCUACGAUCCAUAGCUGGUUUGAGAGGAUGAUCAGCAACACUGGGACUGAGACACGGCCCAGACUCCUACGGGAGGCAGCAGUGGGGAAUCUUAGACAAUGGGCGCAAGCCUGAUCUAGCCAUGCCGCGUGGACGAUGAAGGCCUUAGGGUUGUAAAGUCCUUUCAGAUGGGAAGAUAAUGACGGUACCAUCAGAAGAAGCCCCGGCUAACUCCGUG
RNAcentral lists this ribosomal RNA (391 nucleotides) under uncultured bacterium. RNAcentral's name for it is "bacterial SSU rRNA". It matches the Rfam family "Bacterial small subunit ribosomal RNA", at positions 69 to 507 of the family's 1533-position model. The record is from RNAcentral.